UACGGGGUGCAGCAGGCGCGAAAACUUUACAAUGCGGGAAACCGUGAUAAGGGAACUCCGAGUGUCCGUAAAUGCGGACUGUCCGUCUGUUUAAAAAGCAGGCGAAGAAAGGGCCGGGCAAGACCGGUGCCAGCCGCCGCGGUAAUACCGGCGGCUCGAGUGGUGGCCACUAUUACUGGGCUUAAAGCGUUCGUAGCUGGGUCGUUAAGUCUCUUGGGAAAUCUACCGGCUUAACCGAUAGGCGUCCAAGGGAUACUGGCGAUCUAGGGACCGGGAGAGGUGAGGGGUACUUCAGGGGUAGGAGUGAAAUCCUGUAAUCCUUGGGGGACCACCUGUGGCGAAGGCGCCUCACCAGAACGGCUCCGACAGUGAGGGACGAAAGCUGGGGGAGCAAACCGGAUUAGAUACCCGGGUAGUCCCAGCCGUAAACGAUGCGCGUUAGGUGUAUCGAUGACCACGAGUCAUCGAGGUGCCGAAGGGAAACCGUGAAACGCGCCGCCUGGGAAGUACGGUCGCAAGGCUGAAACUUAAAGGAAUUGGCGGGGGAGCACCACAACAGGUGGAGCCUGCGGUUUAAUCGGACUCAACGCCGGAAAUCUCACCGGAUAAGACAGCUGAAUGAUAGUCGGGCUGAAGACUCUACUUGACUAGCUGAGAGGAGGUGCAUGG
RNAcentral lists this ribosomal RNA (669 nucleotides) under uncultured archaeon. Its description in RNAcentral is "bacterial SSU rRNA". It matches the Rfam family "Archaeal small subunit ribosomal RNA", at positions 324 to 997 of the family's 1478-position model. The record is from RNAcentral.